CUUAAGCGUGUAAGCCGGGUGUAAGAGAGUUAAAUAUCCGCAAAACACUUUGCGGCCAACUCAACGAUUUUCCUUUCUUUUAAGCUGUUGGCUUGUGUGAGGUGGACGUACAAGUGAUGAUACUUGCUAUGCACCACUCUGAACAACUUUUGGUGUUGAUAUAGUCAUUCUGAAUUUAUAUUGAAAAAUGGGCUGCUUUUACUCAUUUAAACCUGUACAAAUAGACCGAUGAUGUGACUGUUGUUUAAUAUAUUAUUUGUU
This is a long non-coding RNA of Bactrocera tryoni, 261 nucleotides long. RefSeq lists it as uncharacterized. The transcript has 2 exons. NCBI's taxonomy places the organism in Eukaryota, Metazoa, Arthropoda, Insecta, Diptera, Tephritidae. The record is from RefSeq and is a predicted model, not a curated record.